CCUACGGGUGGCAGCAGUGGGGAAUAUUGGGCAAUGGGCGCAAGCCUGACCCAGCAACGCCGCGUGAAGGAAGAAGGCUUUCGGGUUGUAAACUUCUUUUAAGAGGGAUGAGCAGAAGACGGUACCUCUUGAAUCUGCCCCGGCUAACUACGUGCCCACAGCCGCGGUCAUACGUAGGUGGCAAGCGUUUUCCGGAUUUACAGGGUGUAAAGGGCGUGCAGCCGGGGUAACAAGUCAGAGGUGAAAUUCCGGGGCUGAACCGCGGAACUGCAUUUGAAACUGUCAGUCUUGAGUACCGGAGAGGUCAGCGGAAUUCCUAGUGUAGCGGUGAAAUGCGUAGAUAUAAGGAAGAACACCAGUGGCGAAGGCGGAUGACUGGACGGCAACUGACGGUGAGGCGCGAAAGCGUGGGGAGCAAACAGGAUUAGAUACCCGGGUAGUC
Molecule: ribosomal RNA, 442 nt
Filed under: uncultured bacterium
Lineage: Bacteria
Description: partial 16S ribosomal RNA
Rfam family: Bacterial small subunit ribosomal RNA
Source: RNAcentral